UUGACAACUGUACAAGACAUCCUUUUGAAGACAGUUGUGAGUGAGCAACAGUCCAAGAUACCUUGUUAAUGCUGCCCUGUUACCUACUGAGUUUCUACAUACAAGUCAAGUAUCCAUCAAAGAUUGGCCAUGGUGUUUACAGAACUGAAAGCCAAGCUGUGAUUUUUGAAAAUUUAUUAUAAAGUUCUAAAUGGAAAUACAAUUUGAAAAGC
This is a long non-coding RNA of Mercenaria mercenaria, 212 nucleotides long. RefSeq lists it as uncharacterized. The record is from RefSeq and is a predicted model, not a curated record. The transcript has 2 exons. NCBI's taxonomy places the organism in Eukaryota, Metazoa, Mollusca, Bivalvia, Venerida, Veneridae.